GACCAAAACGUUUGGCAAGAAAUCCCUCAGCAAAAGUAGGAAAAUCCGCAAGUAUUUCUGCGGAUUGAUUUUCGCAGAAAACUCCGCAGGUAUAUCACUAGAUUCUAGUAGUGAAUGAAUUAGACCCACAAUUUUGAAACACAUUUUUAUUAAUGAAACACAUUUUUAUUCAUCACACGCAAGAAAGAAAAGUAACGAUAACUGUGAGACGGUCAACACACGGAAGUUAAAAAUCUUAUGAGAUAUUUAUUUAAGAAAAACUAUGUCUACAUUCAUGAUCCAGGUCGUCGUGAGCUUAGCUCAGUUGGUAUAGACAAUGUAUAAUAAUAAUAUGCAAGGUCUAGGGUUUAAACUUGGCCAUCACAAAAAUAAAAAUAAAAAAAAUCCAUGCGACACCUUGUGAGAUAGUGAUAAAUAGAGUGAUUAGAUAAAUGUAACAAAUAAAUGAUGCAAUAGAAAAAGAGAUAUAAAGAGAAAAUACAAUGUUGUGUUUAUGAUCUAUUGAUUUUGAGCUUCACGUUAAAAAGGUGGUGGAUAGUUUUUCAUCCUCACUUUAUGAUGUCACAUAGUUUGAGAUGAUUAUCCAUCACUAUAAAAUUAUUUUCAAACAAUAUUAUAUAAAUUCCAAUGUUGAAUUUUUAAGGAGAUCCAAGCAAAUGAGGUAGUUUAUAGUUUAUCUAAGGUGGCCACAUCUUCAAACAUUGGUAGAAAUACCAAAUUGCAUUGAAUAAAUUAUCAUUAAUGAAAUGUUAUAAGUUUCUAACUUAAAAAAAAUAAUGUUAAAUGAGUGUUUGAGAAUUAUAGAUGUUGAAAUAUAAGGGUUGUUUAUUUAAUAAACAAUGAAGGUUUUUGCUUUGUGAGAAAAUAGAAGGACAUGAAUUACAUUUGUAAGGGUGGUAGGCAUAUUUUUCUUUAUUUUUAAUGAUGUGAUUUUUAAAAUUAUUACAAAAACAAUUGCAAAUAGGAUCAAACUGGUCCUCUCCGACUAAUUAGCGAGUUCCAAAGCGCUUUUGUUCUUGGAAGAUCGAUUUCUGAGAAUGCUCUUCUAGCUUUUGAAUAUUUCCAUUACAUGAGAAAAAAGAAGGGUACAAAGGGGUGUGGUGUGGUGUCAAAGUUGGAUAUGUCUAAAACUUAUGAUCGAAUAGAACGAGAUUCUCUUACUGCAGUGAUGAAUGUUAUGAGGUUUAAUAAAAAAUAUGACUGUCUCUUAUCUGUAAAUGUAUCUCAUCGGUCUCUUUCUAAUAUUUAUAAUAGGCGUCCGGGUGAAAAUUUAACCCUCGUAGAGCUCUCCACCAAGGGAACUCGCUAUCUCAUUACAUGUUUAUCAUAUAUACAGAAGUAAUUUUAGGAUAAAUAUGGAAAUCUCAAGAAAGUUGUAACCUCCAUGGUAUUCAAAUUGUUGUAGGAGCCCCACAAGAAUUACUCGUCUCUUCUUUGUAGAUGAUAGUUUAAUGAUUUGCAAAACACUUAUUAGGAUGCUCAGACUGUGAACAAUAUCCUAAAUCACUACAAAUAUACUUCUGAACUACUUAUCAAUUUGGAAAAAUCAGAUAUUUCUUUCAGCCGAAACGUUCUGGAAGAUAGAAAAACCAUGUACCAAGGUUUGAUGCAAAUAAAUGCUAUCAAAUGUCACUCCAAGUAUCUAGGUCUUUCUGCUUAUGUAAGAAACAUGCCUUUAAUUUUGUCCAAGAAAGAGUAUGGAAGAAAUUGAAGGGGUGGAAAGGAAAUUUUAUGUCAUCUGCGGCUAGAGAAGUAUUGAUUAAAGUGGUAGUUCGAUCGACUUCCACCUACAUGAUGAGUUGCUUUAAAUUACCCGAAGGAUUGUCCGAUCACACCAAAACCAUGAAUAGUAGUUUUUGGUGGCGAAGCAAACAAGGAAAGCGUAAGAUUCCUUGGAUAAAGUGAAAUUCUCUCAGCAAGGAAAAGAAGAAAGGUGGUCUGGGUUUUUGAACCUUCAAGGAAUUUAACCUAGCCAUGUUGGAUAAGCAAGGCUUGCAGAUAAUCCAAAAUUAGGAUCUUCUUCUCAUAAAAUGUUUGAAAAGCAGGUACUUCUCAAGAAGAAAUUUUCUUGGAGCCUCAAUUUGAGACAAUCAAUCUAUACUUGGAGGAGUAUCCUCUAGAAAUAUUAGAGAUUAUUGAUAGAGGACAAUUUUAGAGGGUGGAUAAGCAAGCAUGGUAGUUUCUCAGUACAAUCAGCUUAGGGAUUCCUCAAAGACCGAUAUAGUGAUUUGGCUUCAUCAUGUUCUCCUUGACUUUUCUUAAGUGAAUUUUAGAUGAAUUUUUCCAUUUGAUCUAUUCAAAUAUGUGCUAUUGUCCUAAAUGUUUUCCCUGCGUCUUUACGUACAAUUGUAAUCUUUUUUGGAAGGAUGUUUGGAAGCAAAAGCACUUAACCGUGAAAGCUAAAAAUCAAAUAUAUCCCUAUUAUUGACUAAGUGUGCAAUUUUAAGGGACAUUUUUGGAUGCUAAAUUACAAACAAGGAAGUAAGAGUGUUUAACUAUAUACUAAAUUGAGAACUUUGUAUUGUGAGUUGGUGAGACUUUGCUUGAUGAAACCUAUCACUUUUUUUUUUGUAAGAUGAAAAAGUUUUUAUUUUUUGUGAUUUUAAUAUUUAUGUGGAUAUCAUUAAGAAAUUAUUUUUAAAGCAAAAUGGACAUUGAUUGAAAAAAUAUAAAUCUGCGGGUUCAUAUUUGCUCCAUUUAACAUUCCUCCAUUUACUCCUUUCCAAUGCCUGGAUAAAUGAGAUAUGACAUUUUUUUUUGUACCCUUAAACAUGGGUUAGAGGAGAGAGAAGAGAAAAAUGAGAGGUGAUUUCUAGUGAGGCUUCUCUUUUUCGGCGAACACUCCGACGAUGGUUCUGCGAACUCUUUUUUCAAGUUUUUUCUUCUCUCUUGUUCCUGAGCCGUAUCCUUACUCUCAAUUCCAUUAUUUUGCUUUGAUUUUUGCUGAUUCAGUUGCUGUUGUUGUUCGAUUGAGUGAACUGGGUUUUGCUCUAUUGUACUGGUUUUUCUUCAUAACUCUAUGAUUUGGUGCUUGUUCCUGUUCGUUGAUGCUUGUUCUUGUUCGUAUUGACCUAUGCUUUCUACUCUCUAUCGCUGGUGCCGUCAUUGGUCUCAGGUGCGGUGGGUUGCUUGAAGUUCUCCGUUUUUUAGGGUUGGUAAUGUUCCUGGUUCUACUCUACUCAUUCUUUCUGGGUUUAUCUUUAUUCCGGAGUCUUCAACUAUCUCCGGUGACCCUGAUUUUUCCGGCGAAGCUCUCAGACGAGUAUGUGCUUUGGUUUUGCUGUCUCGUUCUUGCUUUGGGCUUUCUGAAUCGAUUGAAGCUUUCUCUGAAGUUUUUCUGGGCUCGUUUUCACUUUGUGGUUUGUUUCAUACUGAAGAUUGGAGUUCUCACUGAGUUUGAUUGAAGUUCUGAGGCUUGGUCUUCUGCUUGGGACUUGUUGUUGCUUGCUAAUUGGACUAUAUCUUCUGAAGUUUUCUGUUUGAUGUUGAGUGGAUUCCUCUCUGAGUCUGUUUGCAGCGCUGAUUCUAUCUGUAUUCUAGCUUGUUUUACAUUUGCUGAGUUUGUUUGAUUACAGUAGCUAUCUGUCAUGUUGGUUUUUCGGAUUUGCUCUUAAUUUUUCUCUGUUAUCAGUGUUUGUUUUGCUAGGGUGUAGCUUGUUCUCUCUGGCUUUGGGUCUGUACUGUUUGACAGGUUGGGUUUUAGGUGCAGCUUUGUGUUCGUUGUGUGGACAUGGUAUGUCCCUGGCCUUUCAUGGCAUCCUUUGAUGCUGUAGUGGCCAAGCCAGUGGCUGCUCCGGAGGCUGGGAAAUCGUUUCCCCAAGUCUUGUCCGGUCCCGGUGAGUUUCAUCUUGCCAACCCUCCUCUGAAGGUCGUGAUGCGGAAAACGGUGCGUAAAGGUCGAUUGUUAUUGCAUUAAGGUGAUUCGCCCCUUACCACUCAAGCUCUAAAGAUGAAAAUAGGUAAGCUUUGGCCUUCUAUUCUUAAUUGGGAAUUGACUCCGCUUGGCCGAGGCUUCUUUGAGUUCCAUUUCGACAUAGUGGAGGAUAUGCGAAAAAUUUGGGCUAUGGGGACGGUGAAUUUUAGACCUGGCUUGAUGAGUUUUUUUCUGCUGGACGAGUGACUUUGAUACUCAAUCACAAGUUCCGACUCACGCCCAGAUUUGGGUAAGGUUUUUACGCUUGCCUCAGGAAUAUUGGCGCAAGACAACUCUCUUGGAAAUUGCCUUUGGUCUUGGAACGCCUUUGAUUAUAGAUGAUGCUACUAUGCACAAGCGCUUUGGUCUCUUUGCACGUGUUUUGAUUGAUGUGGGCUUAUCCGAGCAACUGUUUGAAACUGUUAUUGUGGAACGGGAUGGACACACUUUUUCAGUUUCGGUACAAUACGAACAACAACCCUCUUUUUGCACUCAUUGUAAAAUGCUAGGACAUGAUGUCUACAACUGCUUUAAGUUGCAGUCCGGUAUUCCCAAACAUGCACAUCAGGCUACUGCUGGUCCUCACCACACUCAGAUGCAGAAUAGAAAUAACAGGAAGGGUAAUGCUCUUAUUAGGGAUGCUGGGACUUCUGCUCAACAGGGACAAGGCUCUACGCCUUCUUCUUCCUCGGCUCACACUCUCAUUUCUAAGGCUGCUCACCAGGAACAUACUUUUAUUGAUGACACCAAUUCCAAACAACAAUCUAUCCUAGUGAAUAACAAAUUCGGGCAAGGCAAGCGGCAUGGAUGUUGCCGUUUUAUGCUAUUAACAUGGAUGUUGUGAAUUUGUUCACAGAUUCAUCCUUUUUAUUUUUAGCGAAUUUGAAUUUGUAUUGUAUCGAUGUACUCUAUCAAUUUGAAUGAAUGAAUAUCGUUUAUUUUUAUCAAAAAAAAAAAUACCAUUGUACCAAAAAAAAAACAAUUACAAUACCAAUGUCAAUCUCAAAUCAAACCUAUCCUAAACAAUUAAAACGCCAACAAAGAAAACCACAAUGAUUUUAUAUAUGAUGAAAUUAAAUACUAGUUAAUUUUAAAUGUUAUGAGUGAUUGAAUAUCAAACGAGUUCACAAAAUUAAUCCAAGAAAAUUUGGUUCAAACUAUUAAAUGCUGAAUUUAAAAGAGAAAGCACCAGCAUUUAUAAUGGUUCCUCCAAUCGUCCUCGCUAUAGGGUACAUUCACUCUUCGUAAAAAAAUUCUACAACUUCUACUAUUAUGUUGUUGAAAUACACAGUCAAUUACAAAGAUUCCUUCGAUUUAUAGAUCCAACUGAUCUAAAACCUUUUAUGCUAGGUAAUUACUCUAAACUCUCGAAACUUCAAAUCUUCUUGAAGUUGAAUCUUCCAAAGUCUUCGAAUCUCAAGCAAUUUCAUGCAAUGCUUGAAAGUUCUUGUCCGAUAAUUAUAUAAUGCUAUGAACGUUGCUUCAAUUCCCUACAACUUUGAUGCCUUGAGAAACAACCCCCACUGUUACCUUUGGAAGUGAAAAGAAACUCUUAUUUUGUUUUAGAUCCUUAAUUCCCUAUCAAGAUCCUUGACAUAAACCAAUUGUUACAACAACCUAUAACACCCUAUGACACUAUAUCUCAAUUCCUACUAUGAUCCUUGAAAAAGUGUUUAAGCAAGAGUUUGUAAAAUUGAUUCAGUAAAUGAAAAAGCAAGUAUAGGUAAGUAUAUAUAGUUGAGAGAGAUAUGAACAAGUUUGAGCAAAAAAUAAACAGAAAAUGUGCCUUUGAUUCGAUUCAUUGUUUUAAUGAUUUGAAUCAUUAGUGCAAAUUUGAAAUUUGGGUAACGAUGCAGAUUGAUCUAAUGCACAUGAACAAUGACUCGAAUCGUUGAUCUCCACAUGAAGAUUGAUUCGAAUCACCAUAACUUUGAUUCGAAAAGGUGCUUUACAAAAAUUAAAAGGUGUCAUUCAAAACAAUAUAAAACAAACAAACAAACAAACAAUAUAUAUAUAUAUAUUCACUUUUUUAUGUGGAAAAUCUUUGGUUUAGCAUAUUUCUAACAUUUAUUUCUAACUUGUGCUUAGAGAGGAUAAUUGUUGCAUGGAUUGCUUUCCAAGUUCGGAUGCUCUUCAAGGUUAGUGUUCUUUUUGUCUUCCUUUCCUUUGUUAUUCUACCAAAAAACUAAAAAAAUAUAUGUAUAUUUAUUUCAAGAUUAUUUUUGAAUUUAUAUAUUUAAAAUUCAUGAAAUAAUAAUAAUAAUAAUAAUAAUAAUAAUAAUAAUAAUAUCUCAUUAAUAUAAUUUAUUUUACAUUUAAAAAAAUUAUUAAUCCAAUUUAUUUUUAAAUAUUUGAAUAUUAGUAAUAGGUACGCUGUUAUUAUCUUUAGCAAAUAUAUGUCCUCGUGAGCUUAACAAUGCAUAAAAAUAUGCAAAGUCUGAGGUUCAAACCUCGACCACCACCAAAAAAAAUCUUAAGCAAAUAUAUUAUCAUAUUUUGUUUCAUAUACUCUAUUUUGUUUGGUACAACACAGAGACUCUUACUUUCCAAUAGUAAUUUUUUUUGGCAAAUACUUUCCAAUAGUAAUAUAACCUUCUUCUUUUAUUUUUGGAACCUUCUUCUUUUAGUUUUAUUUUUGGUCAAAAUACAAUAUUCUUUUCUUUCAGACUAAAAAUACAACCUGUGGAUCAUCCGCAUAUUCUUUUUUUUAAAAGUUAAAUUAGCUCAUCUAAAUUGGCAUCGGAGGAGCACAUUCCUAAGUCUCAAGUCAUUGCUAUCAGACCAACUCAAGUGGGUUUGAUCAUCCGCAUAUUCUAAUAGUGGGGUCAUCUCUCAAAUUAUUUUAUCAAUUGAGAAGAUCCAAAUUCAUAAAAAUAAAAAAAUGAAAUGUCUCAUAACAAUUACGUGUACUUUGCUAGUUCAAAAAGACAAAAAGAAAAAAUUUCAUGUUAUCGACAUAACUUUUUUGUCUUACUCAAGAACAAGACAGCCAACAACAACACACAAGUAUGUGUGUUAAACCGAAUAAUAAUAAUAUGAACCUAACAUAACGAAUUUAUGAAAACAAAGGCUGAGAUUUGCUAGGAUAAAGGAUGCCGAAGCGUAAGAACUAAGAUGCUAAGGACAAAAAUCCGUUAUUUUUUCUCUGCUUUGGAAAUAUCACUGCCACCCUUUUCAAUUUUUGUGGUAAUAUGGACACAAAGACAAUAGCUUAAUAACAAUCACUCUAGUAUCUCUAUAUUUCAAUUUUUUUUAAGUAGUAUCGUGAUUAGAAUGACACAUCUUUGUAUGGAGAAGUAAAAAGUUUUGGAUUUAAACUCAUACUCUUGCAUAUCAACGUUCUUGCGACUAUCAACUAAAUUAUUUCUUCCUUCUUAAGUGAACAAAUGUUCUAUAUAUACAUGUGUGCAUAUAUUUCUAUUGAUAGGGGUGCAACAGGUCAGUUUGGAUUGAUUUUUGAGAGAAAUAAAUCGAAACCAAUAAAAAUAGUUGGUUUGGUUCGAGUUUUGUAAUAUUUUCUUGCAAAAUUCAAACCAAAUCAAAAUGGUAAAGAAUGAGUUGGUUUGACUUCGUUCAAUCGGGUUGAUGUUUUUAAAAAUCUAAGAAACUUGUUUUAAAAAAUCUAUAAAAAAAAAAAAAUUAUGAUGUAAUUAAUGUAGUAUAAAAAAAUUAUGGUUUAUGAUAGAACAUUAUGAUGUAAUUUGAUUCAUAUAAUCGACCCUACUUAUUGGUGUGGUUCUUAUACCCCUGCCAUUUGUUCUUUAAUACAAGAAGAAACAACAAAAAUAAAAAAUAAAACGAAAGAGACUUUUUUUUAAUAAGACCAGAAGACUUAUUCAAUGCAGUCAUUUAAAAAGUUUGUACUAAAGUAACCUUCACAUUACAUUUUUUUUUAAUCAGGUAUCUUCAGCACGCAACUGCGGAGAUUAAUCAAUCUAGUCUUGUAGGACUCAAAUGGGCGGCAAAUUCUACCUAAAAAAUUUAACGUUGUUGUAUACUCAAGACUGAAUUCAAACUCAGAACCUUAGUUAAGCUAGAAGAGACACGCACCAUUUCAUUUAAGUGCUCUUGGGUACAUUAAUUGCAUUUUUAUUAAAUACAAAAGAGUAUAAAAUUUAUUUGAUCAAUAAAUAUACCUUAUAAUAUGCAUUUUAUUUUAUAUUUGGGAGUGAAAAGGUAUUAUAUAAAGGAGCAAAGAGAGUAUGACACAGGACUCAAAUCAUCUCAAAGUAGGGAAGAAAAACACACAGAUGGAUUUCCUUGUAGUGUUUCUGUUUCUAUCUCUUUCAAUCUCUUGUGCUUCUUCUACUUCAGUUGAGGAGAGUUUCAUGCAGUGCAUGACAACCAUAGUUAGUAGCUAUUCUGAAUCCACUGAAAAAACAGUGUUUACCAACUCACCCUUGUAUCCACAAGUAUUGGAAUCAUUGAAACAAAAUCCAAGAUGGGUGAACUCAUCAAGCAAACCUCUUCUCAUUAUGACACCUUCUCAUGAAUCAGAAAUUCAAUCAGCCAUACUAUGCAGCAAAGAGAUUGGUGUGCAGAUUAGGGUUGUUAGUGGUGGCCAUGAUUAUGAAGGACUAUCUUAUCUUUGUAAGACACCCUUUAUCAUGAUUGAUCUCAUCAACAUCCGUUUGAUCGACAUUAAUCUUGCCGAUGAAUCUGCUUGGAUUCAGGCUGGUGCAACAUUAGGUGAACUUUACUAUAAAAUCUCCAAAGCAAGUAAAGUUCAUGGAUUCCCCUCAGGUGAAUUAGUUUGACUUUUUGAGACUAUCUACUAGCACAACCAUUUAUGAGACGGUUCGAGAGAGCUUCUGAAAAUAGCUUAUGACUUGUUCAUAAGCUAUUUUCCGCUUAUUUAUAUAAGCUCUCAAAGAUUGCCUGUGAAAAUAGUCUAGACUUUAUUUUAUCUUGUUAUAAAAAUUACUUAUUUAUAAGGGCUUAGUUAAGUUGUUUUUCCAAACAGGGUUAUGUCCAAGCGUUGGAAUAGGCGGUCACAUAAGUGGAGGUGGAUUCGGUACCUUGUUUAGGAAACAUGGUCUAGCAGCAGAUCAUGUUCUUGAUGCUUACCUAAUAGAUGUAAAUGGAAGGAUUCUUAAUAGAAAAUCAAUGGGAGAAGAUGUUUUUUGGGCCAUUAGAGGAGGUAGUGCUUCUAGUUUUGGAGUCAUUCUUGCAUGGAAGAUAAGGUUGGUUAGAGUUCCAUCUAUUGUUACUGUCUUCACCAUUCAAAAAACUCUGGAAGAAGGAGCAACAAAACUCAUUCAUAGAUGGCAAUUCAUAGCAGAUAAAUUGCAUAAAGAUCUUUUAAUUAGAAUAGUUGCUCAAACUAAUGGUGCAAAUUCAAUAACAAUCCAAACCAUGUUUAACUCUCUCUUCCUUGGAAGAAAAAAAAACUUAAUCACAAUAAUGAAUGAGAGUUUCCCUGAAUUAGGGUUGCAGGAAAAAGACUGCAUUGAAAUGAGUUGGAUUCAAUCAGUUUUGUAUUUUGCAGGAUUCAAAAAAUAUGAUCCUAUAGAACUCUUGCUAAACAGAAUUGUAGCCUACAAAAGCCCAUUCAAAGCCAAAUCUGAUUAUGUAAAAGUGCCUAUACCAGAAACUGGUUUAGAAGGUAUUUGGAAAAUGCUUCUAAAAGAAGACACAUUAGCAUUACUUAUAAUGGAGCCAUAUGGUGGAAAAAUGAGUGAAAUUUCAGAAUCUGAAAUCCCUUUUCCACACAGAAAAGGAAACUUGUACAACAUACAAUACAUGGUUAAGUGGGAAGUGAAUAGCAUUGAAGAGUCCAACAAACAUAUAAAGUGGAUGAAAAAACUUUAUAGAUACAUGACUCCUUAUGUUUCAAAGUCUCCAAGAGCUGCAUAUUACAACUAUAGGGAUCUUGAUAUAGGUAGGAACAAGCAUUUUAACACAAGCUACUCAGAAGCAAGUGUUUGGGGCAUCAAGUACUUUAAGGGAAACUUUAAGCGUUUGGCACAAAUUAAGACAAUAUUUGAUCCCCAAAACUUUUUCAGGAAUGAGCAGAGUAUUCCUCUACUAAAUUCCAUUACUCCUUCACAUAGAGGUGGUGGAAAUAAGUAGUAGCACCUAGAACCUUUGUGCAAUGUUUUAAUAUUACUCUUGCUUCGAUAAACAAGUAAAUUAAGCGCUUACAUUAUUUUCUAUUAUAAUGUUAGUGCCUAUGUAAGUUAUUUCUAUAGCAGCAAAGAGAUAAAAUAAAAUCAAACUAUUUUCAUAUAAGCAAUAAGCUAUUUUCAUAACUUGUCUUGGAGAGCUUAUGAAAAUAAGUUGAAUAGGCCUAUGCGCAUUUCGUAAGUUGUAUCCAUAAACCCUCACAAACAGUUUCACUGUGCUUAUGCUAGUUGGUAAGCUCAAAUAAAUUAAUCUAACCUGAACCAUUGUGGUUAUACGUGGAGAAGAACUAUAUACCUAGUAUAUUCUUAGAACAACUAUCAUGUUAAUCUUCUGCUAUGCUUUUGUAAUAAACCCAAGCCAGUAGAAUUUACUGCCUCUGCAGCCUUUUCGUAAGAUCCUAGAGAAUCCAAAUUAUAUGCCCUUUUUAAAUAACUAAAUGAAUGUUAUAAAGUUUUGCUUUGGUCUUGCCGUCUUUGGUCUUCUACAGGUAACAAACUAUUCAAAAUAACUUAUGAGGGGACCUCGACGAGUGUGAGGACAUAGAGUGGAGCCACAAAAGAUUUUCCACUACAAUGGGUCAAUUUUAAGCUCUUUCUUUUUACAUUAGUUUUGAACAUACUUACGAAACACAUUGAAGAGCCAACAUUGAGAUGCAUGCUUUUUGCAGAUGAUAUGGUCCUACUACUUGAAGAAUCGAGGAAGAAAUUAAAUGGGAGAUGAGAGGCUUGAAGAUAAGCCUAAAAAGCACAUGGCUUCCGCCAAAGAAGCAAGACAGAGUAUAUUGAAUAAAACUUUAGCAAAAGACAGCAUUUAUAUCCUAGAUGUGAAAGUUUGUAAUAAUCCCAUUCCACGGCUUACACAACUUAAAUAUCUUGAGUCAAUAGUGUAAACUGACGGUCUCAGGUGGCUAAAUUGGAGGAUCAUCCGAGGUAUUUUAUGUGAUACAAAAAUAAUGCUCAAAUUGAAGACAAAAUGUUAUCGUACAGUUGUAACACCACCUAUAUUGUAUGACACAAAGUGUUGAGCAGCAAAAAUAAAACUACCCCUAGAAUAAAAUAUGCAUUGCAUGACUGAGUAUAGUGUUGAAUGUCCAGUAAGACUAGACAAAUAGGAUUAAAAAUGACAAUAUUAGAGAGUUGAGGUAACACAUGUCUGAUAAGACUUGACUUAAGAAAAACCGGUAGAUUCUAUAGUAAAAAGAAAAACAUCAAAUGAAGGGUAAUCAAAUCCCAAGAGGCAAAGGAAGAUCUAGAAAAAUUAUUAGAGAAAUUAUUAAGAACGACCUAGAUAUUAAUGAGUUGGAUUGGGAUGUAUAUUAUAUAUGGCAGAUUAUUGUGAUGUCUAUUGAUCGAUUUAGUUGACCCUAGAGGCUGGUUGUUGUUCUUAAAAAUCUUAACUAGAAAUGAUAGUACUAACAAACCUUGAAUUAUAAUACAUUGCUUAUCAUGUGCUAAGACAACCAUUCACUGAUUAACUAAAAACUUAUAAAAUAAGGGGAUCCAUGAUUUAAGAAAAACUACAACAAAGUGAACUACUACAUGUUUUGCAAAAUCAUUUGCCGCCAUAAUCUACACCAGAUAUGUCAAAAAGCUACCCUUCUAAGCUAUCCGUUUUCUCACGGGGAAAUUCUCUGUAUAAAGAAAAAUAAAAUCAACUAUAACAAGAAUAAAGGCAAAAGAAAAAGAUCUGAGGAUUCCAUAUCAAAGAGUCCAUUGAGGAGCUGAACCGUUGGAUUUGUACUUCAACAUUUCAAUCCUAUAUCUUUCUUUAUCUCUCAACCUUUUCUCCUGAUAAACCUGCAUUAAAUUAACAAAAAAUGGUGCAAAAUAGUCUAAGAUAAAUAAUACCAAAAUAUAAGUUCUAACAGAUAAGAGCAACUUCAUGUCUUUGUUCUGUUUUUGACAUGCAAAUAUGUAUUUUGAUUCUAUAGUUUGCAUGCAUCUUUUUCACUAAAAAAUUGAGUUUAAUUGAUAUGCAUUGUGAGUAUAAAAAACGUAAACACAUGUAUGCAAUUACAUCUCACCAUAUAGAUAAUUAUGGAGAUAUUUUAGAAACUAACAUAGCACAAAGUGGCAUAAUGAUGAGAUAUGAAUGGAUGAAUGUGAACUCUUUUACACUCACACAACAUACUAAUUAAAUCGAAGAAAAGAUUAUAACUACAAGUGUAUCCAUGCUAUUAUAGCUCAUUUUCAUAUAGAACUAAGAAGCCAUUUUUUCAUAAGUAGAAUUUGAAAGUGGUUAUUUAUCAUAAAUAACCUCCUAAUCUUUCUACAGGGGAACCUCUUAAGAAGCCAGUAGAAAUAGUUAGGUCUGUAUACACUGUAAAGCCUGUGGGAGCAAUCUCAAAUGCUGAAAAGACAACAUUAUAACUAUGGCUACAACUAGAAAAGGGCCUGCUACUUUAUAAUCUUGUACAGACCUUAACAUGUUACUUCCUUUCACACACUCCAAAUCUAUAAAUGUUUUAAGGAAUUCCAUGAAUCCUACUUUUGGCUUUUCCAAGGAACAGCAAGGCAGUUUCGCAAAUGACAGGCUAAGGAUUUGUCAAAUUUCGGUUUGUUACAAAAAAUAGAUCACUAGGAAACAGUGUUGCCAAUCACGGAUUGCAAAAAAUGUUAGUUUGAUCAAAUUCCGCUACGCAGCAAUGCAAUAGCUAUUUAACAACACUGCUUUGCGCCUAGCUUAGUUUGCAAAUAAGAGAACAAAUGUAUUUUUUACAAGUUAUAGAAAAUUUAAACAAGCCAGAGGCAAAUAUGUCAAGUUACAAAAAGAAAAAGGAAUCUGCAGCAGAACAAAAGUCAAUACUCUUACUACAUCAACGAUAAAAAGUGUAAGUCUAUACCUGUCUUUCUGGGUCUGUCAGAUUCCUCCUCAUAAACCCAAUUUUCCUGCUAAUUGAUCCUUCUUGCCUGCAAAAUGAGGGCUUUAGCCUGGCAUAAUUCUCAUUAAAAAAGAAAUUGUAACCACUCCUAUUUGAUUUCAGUCGAUAUAAUCACAUAAUGACAAUCUUGAUUUCUUUUGGUUGAAAUAUGUGUACCUUCAAUAGAAGAACCCUUAGAUGCAUUACUUGAAACAUGAUACAGGACACCUUUCAGCUGUUCAGAACCCAGGUCUACCGUAACUAUAUAUCCGUCAUCAAAUUUCAUGUCAAUUGUUCCACGCACUGAAGAACCAAGUGUCUGUGCUGGACUAAUUGGACUAACUGCAUAUAAGAAAGCAAAUCUUUACCACAUAUAAAUGGAAAUUAUAUCCACUUACCAACAUAGAUUAGGACUCUGUUAGGAUAAACAACUUAACUAAGCGCUUAUAGCAUAAGGUCUUAUUAUUUAAGUGUUUAUGUAUACAUACGCUACUUCUAUUAUGAAAGAUAAAACAAAGUCAAACUGUUUUCAUAUAAGCUAUAAGCUGUUUUCAUUAGCUAUCUUGGAUAGUUUAAGGAAAAAAGCUGAAAAGAGUUUAUGAACAUAUCAUAAGUUGUUUCCAAUUUCCAUAAGCUCUCCCAAACAGUUCCCUAUGUGCUUAUGGCAGUAAAUAAUCUUGAAUAAGUCAAUCCAAAGCUUUAUCACACUAGGUAAGGUCAGCUACUUAGAUCAAACGACGUCGUAAUGUUCUAUCAUAAGUUGUGUUGAUAGUAAAUCUUUCCUCAAAGAUUAGAUGUACACAAAGCUAAAAAAAAUGUCAAGUCCUAAAUUAAAGAAACAAAACAUCUAAGAAUGGUUAUUUGUUUCGCAACUACCAGUUUCAAAAUAAAAGAAGCAGAUAUUUAGUAAAUAUAUUAUUCCCAUAACAAGAGGAAAAAAAAAUCAAUCAAAAAGCAUGCUCCUUACUUCUAUUUCCACAUCACAGAAAAAUAUUUCACAUAAUAGCUGUUUGUAAGUGUUAUCUUCGACUUGCUUAAUGUUGACGACAAUAUGUAUAACCUAACUCAUGAUGGAUGUACGUCAAAAAAAGAAACUCAUGAUGGAUGUAUAGUCAAUAUUAUUGGCAAAACAAAGCUGCAGACAAUUGUAUGUUUACAAGUUUUUAAGCCAUGUAACCUGUUAGCACAUUCGGUUUAUAGUCUUAUUGUCGGUGAGCUUCAGCUUGUACAAUUAGUACCAAACACCACAUAAAAACAUAGAAAAAUAGCCAAUCAUUCCAUCACAAAUCACAUGUCAGCGAACAUCACAAAAACUGUAUCAUUGAUCCACAACAAAUGUCAGAGGAACAAGACACAAAUUAUACCCCUAUCUCUGCUGCUAUUGUAAGAAGCUAGAGGCAUUGCUUUAAGUAAAAAGACAUAUAGAUACAAACUAAUGUUUGAAGCAUCAAGCAUUAAUAAAAUUUAAAUGAUUCAUUGACUUACCCUGGACAGGUGAAUCAUUGAUAGCAGCACCGUCCGUAUUCGUUGUGAAGCUAUUGGCAACGUUCCCACUCAAAGCAUCUGAAUAUAGGAAAUUGUUGAGUGGUAAAAGAUGAAAUUUUCAAAACAUAAUUACAGGGGGAAAAGGUAGUAUCUUUACUAACCAGGUGUUGAGGGAGGGACUUGCUUGCAAAAAUAAUACGCUUGCUCAAAAUGAUAAAGCAACGAUAGAUAGGUCUUGCGCACCAUGAAUGAUCCGCUUGUUAUGGUAUCUCGGAAGUUGAAGCUCAUUAUUACUUCCUUCCAUUUACGAUCUACAAUUACCUACAUAAAUUUAAGAAAAAGAUCAGAGGAGUCAUUGUAGAAAAGUUGAAUUGAAGAGAAAAAUCUCAAGAUCAUUGAGCUGCAUCAUACAUAAACUCCAAACUGAAAAUCUGUUUUAAUCAACAUCAAAUCUGCUGAAAAGACCUAUAUCCUUUAUCUUUGUUCCUACGGGCGAAAGUAAAGAAAACAUGUAUGUUUCAUGAGACAAGGAGACUGUUUUUCACAAUUACUUGAGAAGUAUACAAUGCAUACCUUUUCAAUACCACCACGAGAUGUUACUUCAACGAAGAGGUGAUGCAGAUCUAGUGGCUUCCCCCCUAUAGUAGGAAUCCUACACAAACACAGAGGAAAACAUUAUUAUUAGGAUCAUAGAUACAUUUGAAUUGUAUCUCGAUUUAAAACAAAAACUGAACACAACGAAUAUGAAUCGUUGGUGUGUAUCAUUUUUGGACAUGAAUCCAGAUUCAUCAAGAUAAAUCCUGUUUCACAAGACAUGAAUUCAGAAUCAUUAAGAUAGAUCCUAAUUCAUUCAGAUAAAUCCUGAUUCACUAUGAUAAAUCCCGAUUCAUUUUAAUGAAUUACAACAGCAACCUAAACUUUUUAUACCCAAUCAUGUUUCUUUUGUCAUAUGAUUUAUCACUUGAAAAUCUUGAAUUAUUCUUAGGUUCGUAUAAGAUAUGUCAACCUAUAUUUUUUGUGUACUUAAAAAUAUCAUAUUUUAUUGAUCAUGUAUCUUGCGAAUUAUAAUACGACUCGAUUCACAGUCCAAAAAAUAGGUUUCCGAUUCACAAUCUCAAUCAGAUCUGAAUCAGGAUUUGUUAAGAAUGGGAAUACCAAAUUAUACUAUCCAAUAAAAUACAAUUUUUACAUUUCAUCAUCUCAAGCAAAUUCUCUCUAGCAGCAACUAAGUGAUAACUGGGCAAGCGAGAAAACACAAAAAGCAAAAAAGAUUACCCAUCAUACAAAUGAAAUUGACCUAACCCACAAAAUCAAAAAACCAAGAAUUAGCAGAAAAAACACUAAAAAAUGGUAACUUUAAACAACAAAUAUACUAGAUCGAUGAGCAAGCUGUGGUACAAAAAGGGCUUUUUUUUGUUAUGAAAAAAUUGAACAAACACACUUACUCUAAUUUGAUACCGAGCGAAUCGUGAAAAGAUUGAAGUUUUUCCCGGAAGAGGUUAGCAUCACGAACAAGGUCAGAGUAGAGAGUGGUUGGAGGAGGACAAGGGUUUGUGAGUUCAGUCUCACGCCGAUUUUGGUUUUGAUUCUGGUUACUUGUCAUUUUUAUGGAUUUCGAACUCAACUCAAAUUCACAAUACCAAAUACUCAAUUCCCUUUCUUACAGUAACCUAAAACGAUACCAUACGGUUAUAAACGCACACACACUUUACAUACCGCAUUUAUUAUGAUAUUAUCUGUCAAAAAAUAAGCUAUAUUAUUUAUGCUUUUCGUCCCUGCCAUUUAAGCGAAUUUUAAUUUUAGUUCCUGUGAAAAACAAUUCUUCAUAUUCUACCCGCACAAUAUCAAAUUUCACUUAUAUCGACCCCUCAUUUACACGUGUCACUAAAUAACUAUGACAUGACAUGGAUUUGACAAUUGUACAACGGUCACGCGUGCAGGUGAUGUUGUCUCACCCUUACUUGGUUGACUCAACAAUAAAAAAAAUAAAAAGACAAAAUUGAAAGCCCCUUUAUGAACCCUAACAUUAAAUAUUCAAAAUCACCCAACCAGGGAUUAGUCCUAGCCGGUUAAAAGGGUUGAAGUUGUGGGAUACCCAGGUGCGAAAGGCUCUCAUUAUGGUGGGUGAAAAAUUGUCUUUUAAAAGUAAAAAACUGCCUCUUCGUGAGAGAGAGGAACAGCAAAAACAGCACCUAGAGCACUGAAUAUAAGUUCUUUUUUUUUUGUCCAUAGACCAAGUGGCAAACACUAUACAUACAACUCGCAUACACAAUAGUGAUGUCCCGGGUUCGAACUCAGGUGAAGUGUCUAGCCUACCAAUAUCAGCAUUGUCAAUUAAGCUACUGCUAUGGACAGAGCAUUGUAUAAAAGUUCUUUUAAAAGAAAAAAAAAAAAAAAAAAAAUCACCAACAGAAGCAAAUUCUCUCUAGCAAGAACUAAGUGAUAAUUGGGCAAAUAAAAAUACACAAAAAGCACACAAAUUUACACAUUAAACAAACAAAAUUGACCUAACCCACAAAACCAAAACCCAAUAAUUUGCAGAAAAAAACACUAAAAAUUGGAAAUUGAAACAAAAAAAUGAAAGAGAAGCACACUUACUUUAAUUUGGUACCAAGCGAAUCAUGAAAAGAUUGAAGCUUUUGUUGGAAGAGAUUAGAAUCACGAACAAGAUCAGAGUAAGGUGCGGUUGGAGGAGGAUAAGGGUUUGUGUUUGAUUUUGAUUCACUCUCACACUGAUUUUGAUUUGGAUUUUGAUUUUGAUUUUGAUUUUGAUUAAUUGACAUUUUUAUUUCUAAAUCCUAUAAUAAUCUAUGUAUGCAUUCACACUACAAAGUACUCAAUUCACUUUCUUACAUUAAUUAAUCUAAAACCAUAUCAUAUCAUACGGUUUAUAAAAACACACUUUAUAUACUGCAUGUCAUAUGAUAUGACGAUCUAUCGGAAAAUAUAUAAUGAUACGAUACAACAUUAAUCAUGGAAAAAAUGAUCGUACUGUUUAUUUUUGAAAUAAUUUAAUAGAGAAAAAAAUAUGAUUUUAUUACAUUCAUUUGAUAAAUGUUAAGAAAAUACUAUUUUUAAUUACUGUUUUUAAUUCAUGGAGAUUGAGUCAUUCGGAAGAGAUUAGACACUCGUAAUAAAUAUGGACAAAGAAAUAUAAUUAUAUUUAGCGUCGGACACAAAUCUUUUUUCGGGCCUAAAGAAAAGAAAACUAUGAAAAAAUUAGUCAAUCCGAUAACUAAAUAUCGAAAAGGAUCCGUCAACAUAAUAAAAUCUAAUAGUGGAGUGGGAGAAGCUACUUCAUCAAAGUAUCAUUAUUAAUAGCACCAAAUAUGGCUAAAUAAUGAGUGCGUUAAUUUCCUUUCGGUAAGGUGUAAGUGAAGGAAACCAACCAAGGAAUAAAGAAGAGCAUUCUAAUGAGAGAAAGAAACUUGAAGAAGGUAGAUGAAAGAACUUUUUUUUUUUAGGUUUAAUUGCACUUUUGAACCCCUAUCUUUCCAAAAGUUGUGGUUAUGGACCCCUAACUAAUUUAAAUACAAAACAGCCUUCUAUGUUUUGAUUCUUUGGCAGUUUUGGACCCCCAAGGCAAAAAAAAAAUUACAUGUGGCACCUCACUUAGAGUGUCACGUCAGCGUUGACCGAGUCAACAAUGGACUGGGGUCCAAAACUGCCAAAGAAUCAAAACAUAGGGGGCUGUUUUGUAUUUAAAUUAGUUAGGAGUCUAUAACCGCAAUUUUUGGAAAGAUAGGGGUCCAAAAGUGCAAUUAAUCAUCAAUCAAAUCCAAAGGGGUACGUGAGUUAGAUUCUAAAAUAAUAGACAUAUAGCAUAGAUCCCAAGUCAAUUGAAGGCCCUACCAAAUCAUUGAGAGUUCAACCAACAUAUUAGACGCUUUUCCACGAGAGCUAGAAAAUUCUUGAAUCUAACUGUCAUUAUUAUUUCUCAAGAGACCUCCAAAUUCAGCAUUACAUGAAUUACCAAAAGAGAAACCAUUAACUAUGAUGUAACCAUCUCCAUGGGGAUACCAUCGAACUUGACGAUUAUAGGAUGGUUAUUACUUAUUAGAGCAACCAAGAGCGUGAACCAUGGAAAAGAUAACCAUUAACCAAAUUUCAAGUUUCUUUCUUCAUGUUUUAAAGAAUUUCUUCAUUCAUGUUCCUCAAAAUCUCAUACCAAAUUACUAUGAGAAGUAGUCGUGCCUUAUUCAUAGCAUGUUGCUUAAACUAAACUUUGCAAUCAUUUGAGAAGAAAUCAUUCAACUAAGUGGAAUAAAAAUACCUAUAAACAGACAUUGUAAUAGAGCAAUCUCAAAGAGUAAGCAUAUCAUCCUCAACAAUAGCUCUACAUCUAUAACAUGUCGUAUUGUUUGUGAGAUGUCUCAAACCUCUCGAAGCAUUUGUAGGAAGACUACCUUGCUUCACCAACAAAAAAUGCUUAAGGUUCUCUGAUAUUGGUAAACUCCAAAUCCACUUCCAACAAAUAAUUGGCAUGAUCUAUUGAUUGGACAAGCAAUCAAGCCACAUGUAGCCCUGAAUGACUGAGUAAAUGCUAUUAUGGUAACUUCUCCAAAUAAGCUUAUCAUCGAUAUCAUGGCCAAUGUUUAUAUUGUGAAUGUAAUCUUGAUAGAAAGGAUGGAGUUAAGUAUACAAAAUGUUGAAGUUCCAAACCUCGUUCUCAACAAUAUCACAGACAAAGAUUGAUGUCAUUGAUGUGUGUUGGAACAUUGGUGUGAAAAUGGAAAGAAAUUGGAAGGUUGGAAGUUAAACACCAAGUUAUUAAAUUUUGAUUAGUGUUGUGUAAAUUGAAAAAAAUAGAGUGUGGGGGACCCACAUAAAAUAGAACACAUCAGUAGUGUUUAAAUAGCAGUAUUUAAUUUUACAUAUCUGAUAAUGAUGAAAAUAAAAUUAUUAUUAUUCUUUAUUCAUGGAUAUCACUUCCCAUAAUUUUAGGUUUUGUUGUGAUAUGAUUGAGAAUUCAACUGAAUUUUCUAUCUUUCCUUCAUUAGUUUGGAACAUUGGUUUGUUUCUUUUUGAACUUAUCCAAUUAGUUUGUUACUUGAGCUGAUCUAUGGGUUGCUUAAUUUUUAAGUUUACUUAAUUAUUAAGUUUCUUCAAAUCAGUUACAAACUCUCCCUGUAAAAGGAGAGCUCAUCUAGUUCAAAAAACACACCAAAGAGUUUCAUUGAGUUGUCGGAAACUCUUUCUCUCUUCUCCCUUUCUUGACUUGUGUUGACGAGUCUUUCUUCUCUUCAUCUCCGUUUAAUGUCCCUUCGAAAUUAAGAAUGGUCUUAAAGCAUAGUCCCUUCAAUAAUAUAUGUCUCUUCGGAAUAAAGAGUACUUUUAAGAUCAUGGUCCCUGUUUGGAAUAACAAUGUCCCGUCGAAAUUAAGAAUGAUCUUAACGGUAUAUAUAAAAAGUAUUUCAACAUUUUUCUAUUUGAGGAGAAAUGGUGGUAUCAUCAUAUUUGAGUGGUCGUAGUGCCAUAUUGAUGUUUUGAAGAAAUUAAAGUUAGAACGGUGGCAACACCAUAUUUGAGUGGUCUCAACACCAUAAUAGAGUGGUAACAAUACCAUAUAAAAGUGGUUUCAGUAUUAAAGAGUGGUCUUAGUACCAUAUUUGAGGGUGUAAUUCUCGAAGGGUUUUCUACAGUACAGUAGUUAACCGCACAAUUGUAGAUGGGCUUGUUUUAUCUUAGUGCCACUAAACGUCUUAAAAAGAGCGACCUGGUCGUGACUCAAUCUAGUGACAACUUCGAUAAAUAAUAGAAUUUAAAAAUUCAAAUACAACAGUUUAAAAAUCCAAAAACAACAAUAUAAAUAUAAGGCACGACAUUGCAAAGAAAACUAUCAUCAAUACAUUUGUCAUACCAUAUAGAAACAUGGUCUCUACCAACCUUACAAUGAAACCAGUCCCAAGGAUCUCCACCACUUUAGCUAUAGCACACAAGCUACAAGAAUCUCCUUGUUUAAAAGAAGUGUGCACAAUAUGAUUAUCAAACAAGUAUUUUAUUGUCAACGUUUGUGCCCAAAGCUUUUGUGCUUGAUGUAAAAUGUCUCAAAUAUGUUUGUCAAGUAAUGAUGGGACAUAAAUAUAACAAAGAAAAUAAAAAUAAAACGAACAAGAAAAUAAACUCAUCUGAUGUUGAGAUUCAUUUUUAAGGCUUGACAAAAGAAAUAUUCAUUUUAAUUUAAGACUAAUUUUUUUUUACAACGUAAAUUAUUUUUUUUUUUGACACAACGUAAAAAUUGUUGUUGACUUUUUUUACUUAAAAUUAUUGCGGAUAGAUAAAGAUUUAAUUCAUUUUAAGAGUACUAAUUUAGUAAAAUAUACUUUUUUUUUUAAACCCUCCAGAAUACUACAUUUUAUUUUUAAGAAAAUGACCUCUGGUAAUCUAGAAUCAUUUUCAAAGAGGUGACAUUAGGUGGAGCUCAUUAAUCACUUGAGGCUAAUUACUUGGUUAAUGAGCUCUUUAUCUUUAAUAAUUCAUCUAAUUUUACAUCCAAUGUCAACAUGAAAAUGUUAACCAUUUUAAUAAUUUAUCGUGUUAUUUGACAACAAUAUUUCACACUUAACAAGUCAGCUCUAGUUUUCUUUCUCUAUAUGUUCUCUCUUCCAUUUUCUUCAUUGAUAAGGUGGUUUUGAAUCAAUUUUUUUACCCGAAAUCACCUUAUCUUCACCUUUUUCUCCUUAUUUUAAUUUAAAUUAAAUAAUUGUCUUCACAUUGAUCUAGUUUUGUUUUCUCAUUGUGUGCGGCGUUGUGUUGUUCGUCAUUGCGGUGUUGUUUGAUUAUCCAUCUUGUCGUGGUGUUCGUUUGAUUUCUAUUGAAAGACCGAUUUCAGUCAAUUAUAUAUUCAACAAUGAUUUGGGUGUCAACAUUGUAUUAUUUGUGAGCAUUUAGUCGUAGUUAAUUUUUGGCCUUCCAUUGUAUCAUUUUUGCUAUUUGUUAAUUAAAAAUGUAAAUGAAUAAUACCAAAAAAAUAUGUGAUAAAGAGUAUGUUUAUCCUAAACAUUUUUCAAUUUGCAUUCACAACAAUAUUACAAAAUACUGGUCAAAAGAAAAACAAACUAAAACUGCAACAAAAAUGGAGUACAUGCUUAUGCAAACAAUAGAGCUGGACAUUGACCACAUAAAACAAAAACCAUAGUAGCAAAUUUUUGGUAUCCUAUGUUGCUCUCCUAUAAAAGGGUGGAAGGUCUUCUUAUUUUGUAAAAAACAAAAAAACCACUACAUACAUUGUUUCACCACCUUUCACUUUGCUCUCUUUCAUUUUUGCUUACUUGUUUGCUACUUUUUUUUUUUGGUUCUGAUCUGAGUGUUCUAGAUCUCUUAUAUUGUAUUUGCUUACCUUUUUAUUAUAUUUUUAGGACUUCUGUUUUAUUCCAAAUUUCAUUGUCAAAUGUAAAUUUUAACUUUGCUUGAUUUUGCUCCUUUGUUCUUUAAUUUUUUUAUCACGUGUUUUAUUUUAAUUUUUCUAGAAUAACUUGUUCUUUAUUUUUGUGUUGCUUGAUAUGUGUUCUGUUCCUGUUUUUGUUUGGCUAGAUCGUUUAUAUUUCGCUUGAUUUGGCUAGUCCCUUCACCGUUAUGGAUUAUAUUCUGUUUGAGAUUACAAGCGGUUAAGGUGGAAGUAAAACCCGAAUGUUUAUACGACCUCUAUUAAGAAAGCGGUAUCACAAAUAUAUCUUUUUUGAAUAAGGUAAAAUUGGUUUUUUAUUAUGUGUUAAGUCUGUUUAUAUAUACAAGAAUAACAUUGUCAAGGUAACGUCCGUUAUUAAUUAUGUGUUGGUCUAUUUAUAUUUAAGACCAACAUCUAAUUUAAAAUUAACGUUGCUUUAUGCAAUGUUAGUUUUUAAUUACGUGUUUGUCUGUUUAUAUAUGAGACCAACAUCUAAUUUAAAAUUAAUAUUGUCUAAGCGGUUUUUCUUAUAAAUAUAUUUUGUGAAUUUGUUUUCUCAUUUAAGCUACAACAAAACUGAACUUUCAUACGCAUGAUAAUUUAUCAUUGAUUGGAAUGAACUACAAUACAUAAAAUAAGUUAUCACUAAUGAGAUUGAACUAUCAUAUAUAAGAUAAGUUGUCAUUGAUAAGAUUUAAUAUUUAAAUAUACCCAAGAUAAGUUGUUGUUGAUUUACGAUUUCAAAAUAACUUUAAUACAUAUGAUAAAUUGUUAUUGUUUAGAUUUAUCUAUCAUACACGAGAUAAGUCUUCAACAAGAAAAAGAACAUGUUAAAAAACAAGUUAUAAAAAUGACUAUCAUUUUAAACAAUAUUUUUUUCUAAAACGGUAGACCAAAACACAAUGAUUUGCUUACAUAUGAUUUUUAUAUUUAAAUAUUGAUGUUAAUAUUUUUUUCCUUUUGUAACCUUAUUAAUUAUGUAUUUAUCUUUUUUUUAAAGAAAAUAUAUUGCAUAAUACAUAAAUUCUUGUAUAAUAUCAUGUGUGAAUUAUUUGAAUAAUCUCAACAACGUGUGAAUUAUUUAAAAAUUCUUGUAGAAACAUUGAAAUUUUGUUUUUGUUUUUGUUCAAUCAUGGAAAGUAGUGCAAUGAAUGAUUUCAUCUCUCUCUCUAUCUUUUAUUAUGGAACUUCAAACUAAUCUAAUUCAAUUUUAUUGUGCUCAAGAAAUAUUUUAGGCAUCAACCGAUAAACCGCAAGGUGUAGUUCGGUGCUAGAACUAUAAGAUUGAACAAGAGUUUUGAAACUUGAAAAUGGUCUAAAUCGUCUUAAGGUGAUAUAGGGUAAUUGAACUAAAUGAAUUUUAGUAAUAUAACAACCAUGAAACUAGAAGGCUAUAUUGGUUUAAGAUACAAUUUUGUACCUUCAAAAGGAAGUCGGUCACCUUAGUUUACCCCUUCUCUUUUUGUUUUUGUUUCCUUUUAAUUUUAUAUAUCUAAGGUGUUACAGUUGAUUCUCCCUCUGCACCCCAUUUGCCGGAAAAAAAAAAAUUUGAUUUUGAUUUCCAUAAUAAUAUAAAGAAUUGGGAUUUAAUUUUCUAUUAUUGUGAUGAAAUCAUUAAUUCCAAAGAGUUUCUUUUAUUGUUUAUUUUCUAAAAACUAAAACAGAAAACCUUCAAAUAUCAAAUCUUUUCUAGCUAAACAACUUAGAACAUACAUUUAAUACUCAAGUCUAUGUAAGAUCUAUACUUUUAUUUUACGAUAAAACAACGUAUUUGUGGGUGUCAUACCCUAAAUUUUGACCACUUUUCUCUAUUCUUACCUAUUUUAUUCGUAUUUUUAAAGUCAGGAAUUUUCGUCGUUUAAGACGAAAUUUCGGCAAAGAGGGUAUUUUAAAAUACCUCAUUUUUUAUUCCGAGUCAGGCCCUCUUCUCUCUUUAUUUUCUUUUUAUUUCAGUAUUUAAUUUCCAUCUUUUAUUAGUUUUAAUUUUAAUUUUGAUUUUAAAAUUAGUUACUCUUUCUAUAUAUUUAAUAGUUUAUUUUCUGUUUUUGUGCUAUAAUGUCAAAUGAGUCCGAAAAAUCCCAGCAAGGGUCCAAAAAAAAAAUAUUUUUUUCAUACGCCUCAUAUUCAGGCAGAUUCAUAGGGUCAAACUUUUAUUUUCAAAUCCAGUACACGGUUGCUGUUUCUGCAAGUUGUUUCCUUUUUCCCUUCAACCCUAAUGCUAUGGGAUGAAUGAAGCCAGCGCGUUUACGUCUUUGGAUUGGAAUGGCUAUGCGAGAUGCGUGACAACACAGAUUGGAUGAGGAUGGGAAUGAAUGAGAUAGCGUUUGUUUGUUUUAGAUCAGGACGCGCUUUGCCGGAUUUGGAUUGAGAUGAGAUGCGCGUGUGACAGGCUGUGUUUGGAUCAAGACCAUAUUUUUUAUUUUUAUCAAAUUAUAACAAUUAAAAUAAAAAGAAAAAUAAUAAAAGAAAAGAUUAUACACACUUGACCUUUUGGACUUAUCUAAAAAAAAUGAAAUAAUUAAAUAAAUAGAUAAAGACUUAACAUAAUAAAAUUAAAAUCAAAUGAUCUAAAAAGAAAUAAAAGAUGGAAAUUUUAACUAAAAAUAAAAAAAUAAAAAAAAUAAAAUUAAAGAGAGAAGAGGGCCCGACUCGGAACCAAAAUGAGGUAUUUCAAAAUACCUCCCUGUCGAAAUUUUCACUGAAAAUUUGGAGACCGAACAGGGUUAAAUGACGUGUGUCGGCGUGACCUUAGGUCAAAAAUUGGGGUAUGACACUGCCAUUUAGGUGGAUGACAAAAAGUGUGGCAAUAAUGCUAUACAAGUUAUGUGGGUUUUGCUUCUCAGGGCUCAUUCUUCAUUGUUUCUGUUACUUGAUUGGCAACUGUUUUUUGUGAUUUGCUUGGAGCUUUUAAUGUUGAUUUGUAGACAAGGUGUGGCUGUUGAAAAAGGAUUUAAGGAUCAUGAGUGAUGAGGACUGCAAUUUCAAAAGGCAAACAUUUUGGAAUAUGUGCAGGCAGGGAGGCAGAGAUGUUGACUGCAUUAGUCUUUUCUUGAGAUUUUCUGUCACUGGAUUUGUUUUAAUUAAUACUUUUUCUUAGCCAUCUAUAGGUUGUUACUGAAGUAUACAGAACCAAAUAUGGGUCCAAGAAACCACGAUGCUUUUUUAAUCUAUUAAUGAUACCUUUUUAUUCUACUGACAUGAAUUGCAAACAUUAUUUUUUUUUCCUUCAUCGGUCCAGGAUUUUGGGAUGAAGUUGAUUUUUAAGUCAUGGUUUUUACUACACUUUUUAUAUUACAAGAAAGUUAGAAUUGAUAAGCAUUGGUACUGCAAGUAAUAUAACCUUGAAGAUUAAUUAAAUUGUAGAACACCAUCACGG
Molecule: long non-coding RNA, 25147 nt
Filed under: Medicago truncatula (barrel medic)
Lineage: Eukaryota; Viridiplantae; Streptophyta; Magnoliopsida; Fabales; Fabaceae
Description: long non-coding RNA (MTRU_LNC000127)
Rfam family: MIR2619 microRNA precursor family (bases 17920-18080)
Source: RNAcentral